UUAAGGGCAUACGGGGGAUGCCUUGGCCACCAGGAGCCGAUAGAAGGACGUAGGAGCCUGCGAUAAGCCUCGGGAGUUGGAGUUGCAACCGAACGGUGAUCGAGGGAUUUCCGAAUGGUGUUUUGAAACCCCGCUGGAGUGCAUGGCCAGUGGACCGCAUCUGAACACAUAGGGUGCGUGGAGGGAACGUGGGGAAGUGAAACAUCUCAGUACCCACAGGAAGAGAAAGCAACCGCGAUUCCCUGAGUAUGGCGAGCGCGGAGCGGAAGAGGCUAAACCGGUCAUGUGUGAUAGGCUAGGGCGUUGCAUUGCUCGGGGUCGUGGGACCUUGCGAUAGAGGCUAGCACCGGUCAAGGAGUAAGAAAGUCGCGUCAUAGGCGAGGGCCAUUGAAACGGCCGGCACAGAGGGUGGAAACCCCCGUAGACGAAAUGGCGUGGCCUCCUGUGAGGAUCCCAAGUAGCACGGGGCCCGAGAAAGAAAUCCGGUGAAUCGGGGGAACCACCCCUAAGCCUGAAUACUCCCUGGGACGACGAUAGCGCGAACAGUACCGUGAGGGAAUGGUGAAAAGUACCCCCCACCCCCCCCCACGGGAGGGGAUGAAAUAGUACCUGAAACGGUGCCUACAAUCCGUCGGAGCCUCCGGGGUGGGUUGACGGGUGCUUUGAAGAAGAGCCUGGAGUUAGUGGUACGUGGCGAGGUUAACCCGUGUGGGGAAGCCGUAGCGAAAGCGAGCAGAACGAGGGCGAAGUGAGUCGGUGCUCUAGACCCGAAGCGAAGUGAUGCUACCCAUGGGCAGGUUGAAGCGCGGGUAGACAGCUAGCGUGAAGGACCGACCCCACCGGGUUGAAAAACCUGGGGAUGACCUGUGGGUAGGGUUGUGGAAGGCCAUCAAACUUAGUGUGAUAGCUGGUUCUCCCCGAAAUGAUUAGUGCAGGUCACGUGUGUUUCUUGCGGAGGUAGAGUAUCUGGAUGGCCGAUGGGCCCCAAAGGUUACUGACGUCAGCCAAAACUCCGAAUGCCGGUAAGUGAGAGCGUGGCAGUGAGACAGCGGGGGAUAAUAUAAGCUCGUAGUCGAGAGGGAAAAGACACCAGACCACCAGCUAAGGCCCAAGCGUGUGAUAAGUGGAAAGGAGGAAAGAGUGGGUGGGCACAAGACAACCAGGAGGUGGUCUUAGAAGAAGCACCGUGAAAAGAGUGCCCGUUUAAUAGCCUCAUGGUCAAGGUGAUUCCGCGACGACAAUGUAGUCGGGGCUCAGCACACCGCCGAGCUGUGGCAUCACACAUCGAUAAGCCUUAGUGGUUCAGCGUGUGGAGGUUAGGGGAGCGUCGUGGGGACGGUUGAAGCGGCGGAGUGAUCCAGUCGUUGGACGUAAAACGAGUAGAGAAUGCAGGCAUGAGUAAGCGAAAGAAGGGUGAGAAUCCCGUUCGCCGAAUGACAGGGUUCCAGGGCAAGGGCCUCAUUCCGCCCUGGGUAAGUGGGACAUAAGGCCGAGCCGACAGGCGUAGUCGAGGACAAAGGGUUGAUAUCCCGUUACCGGCGAAGAAACCGCCCAUACGAGCCCGGGGAUGCUAAGGGCCCAAAGCCAGUGAGCGUCUUCGGAAUGGAUUGGUUGAGCGCAUGACCCGAUCCGGUAGUAGGUAAGCGCAUUAACCAGGGUGCGCAGGAAGGUAAGCCACCGCGUGGCGAUGGCAGUCCAAGUCAAGGGGUAGGGCGCAGGUUGUAGGCCAAAUCCGCACCUAUCACUCAAUUGUGGAGUAUGAGACCUGAUGGUGACCGCGUAGCGGCAAGCAGGGUGAUCUAAUGUGCCUAGAAAAGCCGCGGGCGUGGGUUCAAGCCGCCCGUACCCCAAAACCGACUCAGGGCAGGUAGAGAUACCAAGGCGGAGAGAGAAUCGUGUAAGAACUCGGCAAAAAUGCCCCCAGUAAUUGGGAGAAGGGGGCCCUAGCGUUGAAUGAAACCCUUGCGGUUAGGCGCGAGGCACCGCAGAGACCGGGAAGAAGCGACUGUUUACUAAAAACACAGGUUUUCCGGCGAAGUCGAAAGACGAUGUAUACGGACUGACGCCUGCCGGUGCUGGAACGUUUGGAACGUUAAGGGACGGGUCAGCUCAUCGGAAGCGAAGUAUACUCAAGAACUUAAGCGCCAGUAAAGGCGCCGGUUGGUAAUAUAACCAUCCUAGAGGUAGCGAAAUUCUGGUCGGGUAGUUCCGACCUGCACACGAAUGGCGCGUAACGACUUCUACGCUGUCUCAACCGCGAACUCUGGCGAAAUUGCCACUAAGAAGUAAGAUGCUCGUUACGCGCAGCAGGACGGAAAAAGACCCGGACCUUAACUAUAGCUGGGUAUGGUGUUCGGUACGGCUUGUGUAGGAUAGGGGGAGACUGUGAGUUCGCACGCCAAGUGUCGGUGGAGUUCCUCGUUGAAAUACCACUCUGUCGUUCUGGACAUCUACUUCGGCCGUGAUCCGAUCAGGGAAGUGCCUGGUGGUAGUUUAAAUGGGCGGUUGCCUCCUAAAGAGUAACGGAGCCGCUCAAAGGUUACCUCAUCUGGUUGGCAAUCAGGUUCGGUGUAAGUGCCAAAGGGCUGGGACGGCGAGAACUGACAGGGUCGAGCAGGGACGAAAGUAGGAACUAGUUGAUCCGGCCGGUGGUUUGUGGAAAACGCGGGUUUCGGCUUCAAAAAAAAAAAAAACGGAUAAAAGGUACCCCGGGGAUAACGGAUGAUCUUAUUGCCCAAGAGUCCAUGCGACGGAUGGUGGCACCAGAUGUCGGCUCGUCGAUCAUGGGGUGGAGUAGGUCCCAAGGGUGGGCGUGUUCGCCCAUUAAAGCGGUACGCGAGUGGGUUUAGAACGUCGUGAGACAGUUCGGUCUCAUAUCACGCUGCGGCGGCGUGGGAGGACUUGAGAAGGCUUGUCAAUAGUACGAGAGGACGGGACGGACGAACCUCUGGUGGUUGUGUGCCAGUGUUCGCCAGGGCACGGCUGGUUGGAAGUUCGGGAGGGAUAACCGCUGAAAGCAUCUAACGGGAAGCCUGCUUCAGAUGAGGUCUCCAUGGACUUCGAGUCCGAGAGCUCCCAGCUUGAUACUAUUUGGGUUGUUAGGGCCGGAUGUGGACGACCAGUAAUGGUUGCAGCUCUGACCGGGAAUAAAUAAGCCGAUGACUGUCUACA
This 3171-nucleotide ribosomal RNA is filed under the name Saccharum spontaneum (wild sugarcane). RNAcentral's name for it is "bacterial LSU rRNA". It matches the Rfam family "Bacterial large subunit ribosomal RNA". The record is from RNAcentral. Lineage: Eukaryota; Viridiplantae; Streptophyta; Magnoliopsida; Poales; Poaceae.